Small nucleolar RNA from Callithrix jacchus (white-tufted-ear marmoset), 124 nucleotides. Its record names the gene SNORA72. It matches the Rfam family "Small nucleolar RNA SNORA72". From Rfam's summary of the family: U72 is a member of the H/ACA class of snoRNAs. NCBI's taxonomy places the organism in Eukaryota, Metazoa, Chordata, Mammalia, Primates, Cebidae. The record is from Ensembl.
UUGUGAAUAUUCUCACUGUUUUGAUUUUAAGGACAAGCUAAACAUUCACUAUAUUAAGACCAUGCAUGUGUCUCAGACCUACCUCUUUUCCUAGGUCUGUUUUUUUUCCCCUGUGGUUUUCUUU